Oncorhynchus kisutch (coho salmon) is the source of this 2137-nucleotide long non-coding RNA. RefSeq lists it as uncharacterized. The record is from RefSeq and is a predicted model, not a curated record. Lineage: Eukaryota; Metazoa; Chordata; Actinopteri; Salmoniformes; Salmonidae. The transcript is spliced from 3 exons.
UUCACUUCCUGACAACUUCCUUGAUAACAAACAUGAACUUUGACCAAAGGCUAUCAGAACAAGUUCACAAAUAAAAAAACAUUUCCGAUACCUCGUGUAAGGAAUUUCAAAGACACAGAAAUUAGUUUGAACUCCUGGAAAGAGAUCGGGGAUUUGUGGUAAUUUGUCAAAUCCGUCACAAUUGAUGUAUAACAGGCCCACAAUUUGGUUUCUAAAAUCGGAUUAUAUUUGUCUGUUUUCACUGCAUAACAUUUAGAAGUUGUCCCUUUUCAGGUUUAGAAAAACGAACUCAUUCGUAUCAGCAUACAGAAAGAGAAAGUGGUAAUUAAAGUAGUUUUUACCCGUAAUGCAGUUGAUUGAUGAUGACAUCAAUGUAUUGGGGUUGACAGAUUCUGACCCCAACAUAGUGUGGAAUACACAUAUAAACAAUAGACUAAAUGUAGAAUAAUUUUGCUGUGAAACAAUGAGGAGAUUCGUGGGGGGAAACGGUGCAGUCGUUUUACAUCAUGCUAUCUUGGCUGAGCUCCUGUGUCAAGCACUGGGAAACGGACUCCAACAGGUAGUUGGAUAGCUCCAGGUUCUUGCAGAGGAGGUAGCAGAAAUGAGAGACUGAAAACGCGUGCAUCCAGUUGUGAUAUGGAGGAUCCCUGUAGCCUCUCUUCACCAUCAGACAAAACCUGGCCAGCGUGUUCAUGUUGAUCUUGUAGGUGUUUAUGAAGCCCAUGUCCUCAAACAUGCUGAUCACGGCCUAGGAACAGGAGGCAUAAUCGAGAGACAUGAGAAAACAGAAAUAAUACACACUACCAGUGUCUUUCUCCAAGAUUGUGUGUUGACUGUCUCACUGUGGGUGUACUAUCGUCUGACAGGGAGCGAGGUGUGUAGGUGAAGCUGGAGAAGCUGGGGUGUAUUUCCCCUACAGCCUGGAUGCCCACAGUCAGUAGCCGGGUCACUUCCUCGUCUGACACCUGAGGGACAGGGUCAAAGGUCAGGACAUUAACUGCCAAAUAUAACAAAAUGGCUGGAUCUGCAUUCAUAGAUUGAAGAGAUAAGUUGAAUAGGUUGAAGAAGAGCUCUGAUUGGAUGCUUUACCAUCAUGUGGUACUUCAUCAUCUCAUUGGCCAGCUGACUCCUAAACUGUGCUUCAUCGACCCUCUUAUACAGGAGGGACUGAGGAACAGAAAGCACAGGAGUCAUUCAGCAUGAUGACAAUAUUGUUGAUGACAAAUUAUCGUUAAACAAUUUAUCAAUAUCCACAGUAAGGACGAUAACUUUAACUUUUUGGUAUUUAUUAUUGUUCUAAUUCAAGUGAACAGGAGCCUUCAUAGUACAACGACAACUACAAAAAGAGUGGGGAACGAUUACAAGAGCUAUCGUUUGGAUCACUUUCAAAGCGAUUUUUUUUCCAUAUCCCUUUGAUGAUAAAAAAUUGACAACCAAUCGAAAAAGCAUUCUCUUGAAGUUUUCUUGGUUCUAGGUGCGCGAGGCUGCUCGGGGAAGAGAGACGGCUGAGUGCAUGGCACAGGCGAGGGCCACAACCUUGGUGGUGGCCCGACACUCAACAGGAACACACAGCAUAGAGAGAACUUCAAAUCCCAGAGUGCUGUUCAGCUGCUGGUGUUCCUCCUACAGUAUCAGCCCAGAGAAGAAGUGAAAGGGGCAGAGAUGUAGAGAACACGAGCAUCAAACACAUCCAAACCUACUACUUACUGUAAGACUACAAAACACCACAAUACUGAUCAGGAACAUUUCAGUGUUCUUACUGGAGUGACAUCUUGCAGGGAGGUGCUCUUCCUCUUCUCCACAGCCUGACCAAGGUGGCCAAAUGUCAGCUGGACCCCAGACAGAUAGACAGGGUCAGGCUGAGUAAGGGGCAGCAGCAGGGGCACAGGUGGUAAUGUCAGAGGGGAAGAAGGGCUGUGUUGUGUAACUUACUGGGAAACUGAUCUCUGCCUUCAGAACCGUGUCUCCAACUACCUGAGGAAUAACAAAGACAUCCAACAAACAUGUUAUUGUUUGUUUAUUUUUGCAACUUUUGCUUUGUUUUAGAAUAUUGAAUAUUGUGUGUGUACAGUAUGUGUACCUGACAGAACAGCUGUUGGUUAUCCUCUGAUACCAGAAGUAAACAGCAGCACAAUGA